UGUAGCAAUGCAUUCGUAUGUUGUGUGAAUUUCUCGUGUUAUCUUUAGUAUUGCUUCGGAUUCCUCUAUCCGACUGUAAAUUUUGGGAUUCUGGACUAGUUUGUGUUUGUUUUAGAAUCAAUGGAGCCUCCUAAUCUCAUUUCUAUGGCAUUGCAGGAUCUGCAUGGGAACCUUGAGACAGAACAACUCAAAGACGAGUGACAAAGAGCUGUUUCUUGAAUUAAGAGGGAAAUGAUGAGUUGUUACUACUAUGCUUUGUGGGCCAUGUUCCAUUUUACUGAGGGAUGAUGUUAUCUUGUUUUCUCAUCAAAGGCACAGGAUAAGUUGGUGAAGAUUGUAUGAGUUGUAAAGUCGUUGUUGCGAAUUUUCGUUCCAUCGCCUCCUUCUGUGUCGAUGUAGGUAUGGUGUUCCUUAUAGUUUCUUGAAGUUGUUGUAUUCAAAUUGUUGAUCUUGUAUAUCAAAAUUGGUGAGGAUACAUCCAAACAACAUUCUUUUUGUCAAUGUAUAUGGGGUUGUAUUUUUGCUUGUUU
Salvia miltiorrhiza (redroot sage) is the source of this 530-nucleotide long non-coding RNA. RefSeq lists it as uncharacterized. NCBI's taxonomy places the organism in Eukaryota, Viridiplantae, Streptophyta, Magnoliopsida, Lamiales, Lamiaceae. The transcript is spliced from 2 exons. The record is from RefSeq and is a predicted model, not a curated record.